CUCCUACCGUUGUAGCAGGUCCGCCUGGCUACUCGAUAACACGGCCCCCUCCGGGGGGUGUCCCCUACCCUUGUGGAUUUAUACCUUUGUUGCUUUGGCAGGCCGCGUCUAGCCACCGGCGUUUGCUGGUGAGUGCCUGCCAGAGGCCCCAACUCUUGAUUUAAUGGCGUCUGAGUCCUAUAUAAUCGUUAAAACUUUCAACAACGGAUCUCUUGGUUCUGGCAUCGAUGAAGAACGCAGCGAAAUGCGAUAAGUAAUGUGAAUUGCAGAAUUCAGUGAAUCAUCGAAUCUUUGAACGCACAUUGCGCCCCGUGGCAUUCCGCGGGGCAUGCCUGUUCGAGCGUCAUUAUAACCCAAUCACGCAUGGCGUGGUCUUGGGGCUGGCAGCUCUGCCGCCCUCAAAGACAGUGGCAGCGCCGUAGGGCUCUUAGCGUAGUAAUACUCCUCGCUAUAGGGUCUCGCGGCCGCCCGCCAGCAACCCCAUCUUUCUCGGUUGACCUCGGAUCA
Molecule: ribosomal RNA, 507 nt
Filed under: ascomycete sp. olrim903
Lineage: Eukaryota; Fungi; Ascomycota
Description: eukaryotic LSU rRNA
Rfam family: 5.8S ribosomal RNA (bases 193-346)
Source: RNAcentral